Callithrix jacchus (white-tufted-ear marmoset) is the source of this 1555-nucleotide non-coding RNA. NCBI's taxonomy places the organism in Eukaryota, Metazoa, Chordata, Mammalia, Primates, Cebidae. The record is from RefSeq and is a predicted model, not a curated record.
AUGUGCUCGACUUUCCUCCUCGUCCUCCAGUCAAGACACAGACUGCGUUUGAACAGCACCGUGACAGAGAAUGAACAACAAAUCAUGGGACAUCAAGUCACUAAGACAAAACUGAGUAACUUGAGACUUUAUGGUCUCCAAAGCAUGAAGUACAUACUGUCAGCCCUUGUCAAACACAGGUUGUCAGCUCCUCCUCUGGAUCCAAUUGCAGGAAGUGAAGGGUUUUGGACACUGAGACGGAGCUGGCGGCCGCUGCAGACGAAAGUCAGGAAAGGGCAGGCCGGGUUCGGCCGGUCCCCGGCGCCGAAAGUUGUGCUAAAAAGCACCACCAAGAUGUCUCUAAAUGAGCGCUUCACUAAUAUGCUGAAGAACAAUUUCGGGCUUCCAUGCAGCAACAACAGCAGCUAGCCGGUGCCAGAAACAGAAGCCUGGCCCAGCAGAUGGAGAAUAGACCCUCUGUCCAGGCAGCAUUAAAACUGAAGCAGAGCUGAAAGCGGCGCCUGGGUAAGAGUAACAUCCAGGCACGGUUAGGCCGACCCACAGGGGCCCUGGCCAGGGGAGCAAUCGGAGGACGAGGCCUACCCAUAAUCCAGAGAGACUUGCCCAGAGGAGGACUACGUGGGGGACGUGCCACCAGAACCCUGCUUAGGGGCGGGAUGUCGCUCCGAGGUCAAAACCUGCUCCGAGGUGGACGAGCCGUAGCUCCCCGAAUGGGCUUAAGAAGAGGUGGUGUUCGAGGUCGUGGAGGUCCUGGGAGAGGGGGCCUAGGGCGUGGAGCUGUGGGUCGCGGCAGAAUCGGUGGUGGAGGUCGGGGUAUGAUAGGUCGGGGAAGAGGGGGCUUUGGAGGCCGAGGCCGAGGCCGUGGACGAGGGAGAGGUGCCCUUGCUCGCCCUGUAUUGACCAAGGAGCAGCUGGACAACCCAUGUCGAAAACAAAAGGACACCUGGAUGCUGAGUUGGAUGCCUACAUGGCGCAGACAGAUCCCGAAACCAAUGAUUGAAGCCUGCCCACCCUGCUGUGAGAGACUCUUGUUAGUCCACACGUCUGUAAAUAGCCUUGAGAUAACAGAUGAGAAGAAAUCUGAUUGAUGCUGGAUGGACCUAUCACAAUAGGCUAUGGACUUACUUGCCACCAGCUUGUGCAUUUAGUGUGUUCCUUUUACUUUUGGAUACUGUAUUGUAUGAAGUCCUUUUGUCCUUUGAUUUGGUUUUUUGUUUUUGUUUUCUUUUUCGGGGGUGGGGUAUUUUCCCCUCCUGUACCCAGACUUCUCUUUGAACACAAAUGCAUUAGCCUUGUGGCUAGAACACCCUCUUCCUACCUCUGCCUUCCCUCACUUGUCAGAUGCUCUGACAUGCUAACAUUUCUUUUGUUGAUCUCUGUUGCCCCCACAGAAAGGUCCCAGAAAAAAAAAGUGUUCCUCCCUGAUGCUUAGAUUUCUGAGGUAGGGUUCUGUUACAUCCUCUUCAAAAGCCUCUUUAAAAUGUUAAGAAAGUCUGGAGCUCAAAGAUGCAUUCUUCCACAUUGAUAAUUUAGUAAACUGAGCACAUUGACAUCA